RNAcentral lists this ribosomal RNA (1113 nucleotides) under uncultured organism. RNAcentral describes it as "bacterial SSU rRNA". It matches the Rfam family "Bacterial small subunit ribosomal RNA", at positions 375 to 1484 of the family's 1533-position model. The record is from RNAcentral.
ACGAAAGUCUGACGGAGCGACGCCGCGUGGGUGAAGAAUGCCGGAAUGUUGUAAAGCCCUUUUCUCGUUGAGGAAUAAGCACAGGAGGGAAUGCCUGUGCGAUGACGGUAGGCGAGGAAUAAGUCCCGGCCAAUUACGUGCCAGCAGCCGCGGUAACACGUAUGGGACGAGCGUUGUUCGGAAUCAUUGGGCGUAAAGGGCGCGUAGGCGGCGAGGUAAGCCUGGUGUGAAAGACCGCAGCUUAACUGCGGAACCGCGCUAGGAACUGCUUUGCUUGAGUUCAGGAGGGGGAGCUGGAAUUCCAGGUGUAGGGGUGAAAUCUGUAGAUAUCUGGAAGAACACCGGCGGCGAAGGCGAGCUCCUGGCCAUGAACUGACGCUGAGGCGCGAAAGCGCGGGGAGCGAACAGGAUUAGAUACCCUGGUAGUCCACGCUGUAAACGAUGCGCACUAGGUGUUGGGCCACGAAGGUUCAGUGCCGGAGUCAACGCGUUAAGUGCACCGCCUGGGGAGUAUGCUCGCAAGGGUGAAACUCAAAGGAAUUGACGGGGGCCCGCACAAGCGGUGGAGCAUGUGGUUUAAUUCAAUGAUACGCGAGGAACCUUACCAGGGUUUGACAUAUGCCGGAAUGUGCAGGAGACUGCGCAGCCCUUCGGGGCCGGUAUACAGGUGCUGCAUGGCCGUCGUCAGCUCGUGCCGUGAGGUGUUGGGUUAAGUCCCGCAACGAGCGCAACCCCUACCGUCUGUUGCCAGCAUUCAGUUGGGGACUCAGGCGGAACUGCCGGUGACAAACCGGAGGAAGGUGGGGACGACGUCAGGUCAUCAUGGCCCUUAUAUCCUGGGCUACACACGUGCUACAAUGGCCGGUACAGAGCGAAGCAACACCGCGAGGUAGAGCAAAUCGCAGAAAGCCGGUCUCAGUUCGGAUUGGAGUCUGAAACCCGACUCCAUGAAGUUGGAAUCGCUAGUAAUCGCGCAUCAGCAUGGCGCGGUGAAUACGUUCCCGGGCCUUGUACACACCGCCCGUCACACCACCCGAGUUGGGGGUACCCGAAGUCGUUUGCCUAACCUGCAAAGGAGGGCGGCGCCGAAGGUAUGCCUGUAAGGGGGGUGAA